UGCGUGCACUGGUUCGGCCGGGCCUUUCCCUCUGGGGAGCCGCAUGCCCUUCACUGGGUGUGUCGGGGAACCAGGACUUUUACUUUGAACAAAUUAGAUCGCUUAAAGAAGGCCUAUGCUCGAAUACAUUAGCAUGGAAUAAUAGAAUAGGACGCGUGGUUCUAUUUUGUUGGUUUCUAGGACCGCCGUAAUGACUAAUAGGGACAGUCGGGGGCAUCAGUAUUCAAUUGUCAGAGGUGAAAUUCUUGGAUUUAUUGAAGACUAACUACUGCGAAAGCAUUUGCCAAGGAUGUUUUCAUUAAUCAGGAACGAAAGUUAGGGGAUCGAAGACGAUCAGAUACCGUCGUAGUCUUAACCAUAAACUAUGCCGACUAGGGAUCGGACGAUGUUAUAUUUUGACUCGUUCGGCACCUUACACGAAAGUAAAGUUUCUGGGUUCUGGGGGGAGUAUGGUCGCAAGGCUGAAACUUAAAGAAAUUGACGGAAGGGCACCACCAGGGGUGGAGCCUGCGGCUUAAUUUGACUCAACACGGGGAAACUCACCAGGUCCAGACACAAGUAGGAUUGACAGAUUGAGAGCUCUUUCUUGAUUUUGUGGGUGGUGGUGCAUGGCCGUUCUUAGUUGGUGGAGUGAUUUGUCUGCUUAAUUGCGAUAACGAACGAGACCUUAACCUGCUAAAUAGCCCGCAUUGCUUUGGCAGUGCGCCGGCUUCUUAGAGGGACUAUCGG
This 729-nucleotide ribosomal RNA is filed under the name uncultured eukaryote. RNAcentral describes it as "SSU rRNA". It matches the Rfam family "Eukaryotic small subunit ribosomal RNA", at positions 671 to 1426 of the family's 1831-position model. The record is from RNAcentral.